CGCAAGCCUGACGGAGCAAGACCGCGUGCGGGAGGACGGCCUAUUGGUUGUAAACCGCUUUUGAUAGGGAAGAAGUUCUGACGGUACCUAUCGAAUCAGCAUCGGCUAACUCCGUGCCAGCAGCCGCGGUAAUACGGAGGAUGCAAGCGUUAUCCGGAAUUAUUGGGCGUAAAGCGUCCGUAGGUGGUUGUUCAAGUCUGCUGUUAAAGCGU
Molecule: ribosomal RNA, 212 nt
Filed under: uncultured cyanobacterium
Lineage: Bacteria; Bacillati; Cyanobacteriota
Description: partial 16S ribosomal RNA
Rfam family: Bacterial small subunit ribosomal RNA
Source: RNAcentral